Molecule: ribosomal RNA, 630 nt
Filed under: uncultured bacterium
Lineage: Bacteria
Description: bacterial SSU rRNA
Rfam family: Bacterial small subunit ribosomal RNA
Source: RNAcentral
UUGGGCGUAAGAGCUCGUAGGCGGUUUGUCGCGUCUGCUGUGAAAUCCCGAGGCUCAACCUCGGGCCUGCAGUGGGUACGGGCAGACUAGAGUGCGGUAGGGGAGAUUGGAACUCCUGGUGUAGCGGUGGAAUGCGCAGAUAUCAGGAAGAACACCGAUGGCGAAGGCAGAUCUCUGGGCCGUAACUGACGCUGAGGAGCGAAAGCAUGGGGAGCGAACAGGAUUAGAUACCCUGGUAGUCCAUGCCGUAAACGUUGGGAACUAGAUGUGGGGGCCAUUCCACGGUCUCCGUGUCGCAGCUAACGCAUUAAGUUCCCCGCCUGGGGAGUACGGCCGCAAGGCUAAAACUCAAAGGAAUUGACGGGGGCCCGCACAAGCGGCGGAGCAUGCGGAUUAAUUCGAUGCAACGCGAAGAACCUUACCAAGGCUUGACAUACACCGGAAAGCUGCAGAAAUGCAGCCCCCGCAAGGUCGGUGUACAGGUGGUGCAUGGUUGUCGUCAGCUCGUGUCGUGAGAUGUUGGGUUAAGUCCCGCAACGAGCGCAACCCUCGUUCUAUGUUGCCAGCACGUGAUGGUGGGAACUCAUAGGAGACUGCCGGGGUCAACUCGGAGGAAGGUGGGGAUGACGU